This 433-nucleotide ribosomal RNA is filed under the name uncultured bacterium. RNAcentral's name for it is "partial 16S ribosomal RNA". It matches the Rfam family "Bacterial small subunit ribosomal RNA", at positions 29 to 507 of the family's 1533-position model. The record is from RNAcentral.
AACGAACGCUGGCGGCAUGCCUAACACAUGCAAGUCGAACGAGACCUUCGGGUCUAGUGGCGCACGGGUGCGUAACGCGUGGGAACCUGCCCUUAGGUUCGGAAUAACUCAGAGAAAUUUGAGCUAAUACCGGAUAAUGUCUUCGGACCAAAGAUUUAUCGCCUUUGGAUGGGCCCGCGUAGGAUUAGCUUGUUGGUGGGGUAAUGGCCUACCAAGGCGACGAUCCUUAGCUGGUCUGAGAGGAUGAUCAGCCACACUGGGACUGAGACACGGCCCAGACUCCUACGGGAGGCAGCAGUGGGGAAUAUUGGACAAUGGGCGAAAGCCUGAUCCAGCAAUGCCGCGUGAGUGAUGAAGGCCUUAGGGUUGUAAAGCUCUUUUACCAGGGAUGAUAAUGACAGUACCUGGAGAAUAAGCUCCGCCUAACUCCGUG